CGAAAGUCAGAGGUUCGAAGGCGAUCAGAUACCGCCCUAGUUCUGACCGUAAACGAUGCCACCUGACGAUCCGCCAGGGUUACUACCAUGACUCGGCGGGCAGCCCCCGGGAAACCCAAGCCUUCGGGUUCCGGGGGAAGUAUGGUUGCAAAGCUGAAACUUAAAGGAAUUGACGGAAGGGCACCACCAGGAGUGGAGCCUGCGGCUUAAUUUGACUCAACACGGGGAACCUCACCCGGCCCGGACACCGCGAGGAUUGACAGAUUGAGAGCUCUUUCUCGAUUCGGUGGGUGGUGGUGCAUGGCCGUUCUUAGUUGGUGGAGCGAUUUGUCUGGUUAAUUCCGAUAACGAACGAGACUCUAGCCGGUUAAGUAGCCCGGAGCGGUUUUUGAUCUUUGCCGUCCGUCCUUUGUUUUUUCCCUUUUUCCCGUCCUCGGCCGACCGGUUCGGCGGGUACGAGGGAAGGCGGGGGCGGAGGGGUCAUCCGCAGGCCGUCCGCGGUCUGCGGGGAAACCUUUUCGUCACUUUACCUUCUCGCCGUCUUUGCCGUUUCCCGAGCGGUCGAGACGGAAGGGGAGCUUAGGCGGAAGCAUAACCGAAGGCCGCCGGCUUUUACAGGAAGCUUCUUAGAGGGACGAGCGGCGUUCAGCCGCCCGAGAUUGA
Molecule: ribosomal RNA, 663 nt
Filed under: Euperipatoides rowelli
Lineage: Eukaryota; Metazoa; Onychophora; Udeonychophora; Euonychophora; Peripatopsidae
Description: SSU rRNA
Rfam family: Eukaryotic small subunit ribosomal RNA
Source: RNAcentral